RNAcentral lists this unclassified non-coding RNA (335 nucleotides) under uncultured fungus. RNAcentral's name for it is "partial contains small subunit ribosomal RNA, internal transcribed spacer 1, and 5.8S ribosomal RNA". The stretch from base 1 to 73 matches the Rfam family "Eukaryotic small subunit ribosomal RNA", at positions 1759 to 1831 of the family's 1831-position model. The record is from RNAcentral. Lineage: Eukaryota; Fungi.
GCAAACUUGGUCAUUUAGAGGAAGUAAAAGUCGUAACAAGGUUUCCGUAGGUGAACCUGCGGAAGGAUCAUUACAGCGCCUGCCGAUGUGCAUACUCUGCACUAGGCUUCCGGCCAUUCGUGUCUACCUUUCCUCUGUUGCCUUGGCAGGUCGUCCGGCUUUUACGAGCUGGCGUCCGGGACACACACUGCGGUAGUACUGCGGUGCCUGGACAGUACCUGCCAGAGGCCCCCCCUUUGAAUCUUUAUGAAGUUUAGGCAGUCUUACGUUUAAAUGAAAUUAUUAAAACUUUCAACAACGGAUCUCUUGGUUCUGGCAUCGAUGAAGAACGCAGC